GUGUCAGCAGCGCGGUAAUACGUAGGAUGCGAGCGUUAUCCGGAUUUAUUGGGUUUAAAGGGUGCGUAGGCGGCCUGUUAAGUCAGCGGUGAAAUCUAGGGGCUUAACUCCUAAAUUGCCAUUGAUACUGGCGGGCUUGAGUGUAGAUGAGGUAGGCGGAAUGCGUGGUGUAGCGGUGGAAUGCAUAGAUAUCACGCAGAACUCCGAUUGCGAAGGCAGCUUACUAAGGUACAACUGACGCUGAAGCACGAAAGCGUGGGUAUCAAACAGGAUUAGAAAC
RNAcentral lists this ribosomal RNA (280 nucleotides) under uncultured prokaryote. RNAcentral describes it as "partial 16S ribosomal RNA". It matches the Rfam family "Bacterial small subunit ribosomal RNA", at positions 505 to 785 of the family's 1533-position model. The record is from RNAcentral.